GAAAAAGUCAACGAAACCAAAUUAUUCCUUUUUUAAAAAAAAUGAAUUAGGCGAGACAAUUGCAAAUCAAGUAGGAAAAUUGAGAUAAAAUAAAAUAGCAUGGGGAAACACUAGGCUAAUUAUAAAGUUAGUACAAGUAGACAAUAAGCAUAAAAUGCAAAUUAUAAGUAAACAAAAGAUCAAAAGUUGAGAAUGGGCCCUUUUAGGCCCAUCAGUGGGCUGCCCAGCUUUGGGCCUCCCAUUGUAUGGACUUUUAAGUCCAUUUUUCUGCAUUGUACACCACAGGUAUACCAGUCCCUCUUUUCUAGCAUUUUGGGUAUAUUUAGUGUAUAUAUGACCGUAUUUCGGUCAUAUAUACAUAACUUUGGCCCUCCGUCUGUAUCAUCAGCUCCGUUUUCUCCUUUUUUUCACCGUAUAUCACCCGUAUACCGGCUUCCAUAAUGCGUAUACCACUAUAUUAGGACUGUAUCUACAUGUUAGUCCCUUCGAUUACUUUUGGGACGUGGUCCCGGAGAGAUGCAGGCUAUGGAGUCCAAUUGGACUCGGACGAUUUACAUAAAAUGUAAGGAUUAGUACAUGCAACAUGUAGUACCAAUAUGCGUUAGUGAAAAUAGAGCCUGUGAAUAUGUCCAAGUAGCAAGUAACAAAGACAAGAACUUGUGAAGAAAUAUCAAAUCCUCAACCAUUAACCAACAUGCCUAAACACUAGAUAUACUUGUGUAACAGUGAAGCACUUAGCACUAAUGAUGGAAAACUCGUGAAUACUUUUUGUAGCACUUACAUUGAGCAAAUUUUCAGUUACCAAGCGAAAUCAAAUAAAAAUAUAUCAAGAUUAACACACAACUCCCACAAGAGAACAGUAAGAACAAAAUUAAACAAAUAUCUUCACUUUACUGAUUCGAAGGAGAUGAACUUAUUAUUUUUUUUAUUUAUUUUUCACCAAUCCCACCAGCUCUUCGUCUCUCUAAGUCCAACUAACAUUACAGGUACCAACAUCUGGUAAAAGAUUAUUCGAGCCAUCUCCGGGAAAUGCAAUAUUUGGCACACAUGAAAAAAUGGCAAAGAAAGAAAAGAUAUGUCAAAGUUCAAAUCUUUGACAAUUUAUGUUGGAAUCUAGUCUCACCUUCAGACUAUUUU
This 1137-nucleotide long non-coding RNA is filed under the name Capsicum annuum. RNAcentral describes it as "long non-coding RNA (CANN_LNC007251)". The record is from RNAcentral. Lineage: Eukaryota; Viridiplantae; Streptophyta; Magnoliopsida; Solanales; Solanaceae.